CCUACGGGUGGCAGCAGUGGGGAAUAUUGCACAAUGGGGGAAACCCUGAUGCAGCAACGCCGCGUGAGUGAAGAAGUAUUUCGGUAUGUAAAGCUCUAUCAGCAGGGAAGAAGAUGACGGUACCUGAUCAAGAAGCCCCGGCUAACUACGUGCCAGUAGCCGCGGUAAUACGUAGGGGGCAAGCGUUAGCCGGAUUUACUGGGUGUAAAGGGAGCGCAGACGGCAGUGCAAGUCUGGAGUGAAAGCCCGGGGCCCAACCCCGGAACUGCUCUGGAAACCGGAGGGCUGGAGUGCGGGAGGGGCAGGCGGAAUUCCUGGUGUAGCGGUGAAAUGCGUAGAUAUUAGGAGGAACACCAGUGGCGAAGGCGGCCUGCUGGACAGUAACUGACGUUGAGGCUCGAAAGCGUGGGGAGCAAACAGGAUUAGAUACCCUAGUAGUC
This 440-nucleotide ribosomal RNA is filed under the name uncultured bacterium. Its description in RNAcentral is "partial 16S ribosomal RNA". It matches the Rfam family "Bacterial small subunit ribosomal RNA", at positions 338 to 795 of the family's 1533-position model. The record is from RNAcentral.